Long non-coding RNA from Wyeomyia smithii (pitcher-plant mosquito), 2529 nucleotides. RefSeq lists it as uncharacterized. The transcript has 3 exons. Lineage: Eukaryota; Metazoa; Arthropoda; Insecta; Diptera; Culicidae. The record is from RefSeq and is a predicted model, not a curated record.
UUAGUUUGCUAUGUAACAGUUUGAAGAGUAUGUUGAGUUGUGUUUUUAAGUGAUCGAUCCUAAAUACUAAUUUUAAUUUCCCUUAUGAACAAAGCUAGCUGUUUAAUAUUGUUUAUGUUAUUUUCAGUUAAAAUAAGUAUCAAAUCAAGUUUCUUCGAAGUAUUUGUGCCGUGUCAAAUGAAUGUUAUGUGAAGAAAAAAAAAAGUUUUUUCGAGAGUACUGGGUACAUUGCAUGAAUUACAGUUUUCGUUAGGGACCAAUCCCCAUUUAUAUAGUCUAUCCUUUGUGGCUAAGUGGCAUGAGCGUAGUCUGGAUAAUGUUAUCGUGAGAUCGUUCGGCAAACAUAUGUUUUGGAACCAUGGCUCCAGUUUGAUCGUUGGCAUAAUUUUGUAAUGGCUAAGGGUCAAGUCGUCUUUGGAAAGUCGUCGAUUUCAGUUCUUGUUGUUCAAAGCUUAGCUGCAUGAUCAGCUCUGUCGUUUCCCGUUAGAUGAAUAUGUCCAGGAAUCCAUUGAAUGGUGAGACUGUCUAUUUGCGAUCUAUUAAUUAAUUUAUAAAUGGUACAGAUUUUCUUAAACGAUGUAAGCCAGAACUUAUUAUCAAAACAGUAACCAUACUUAAUGCCGUAGUUAACUCUGGUAUAAUUCCAGAUGAUUGGCGCGACAUUAAAAUCGUUCCAAUACUUAAACCAUCCAAAAACCCUAAUGAACCGUUAUCAUACAGACCAUUAGCCAUGAUUAGCGUUAUUAUAAAACUUAUUAAUUUUAUUAUAAAGCGUAGGCUAACUGAACAUAUAGAAACAGACAAUAUGUUACCAGCUUACUCGUUUGGCUUUAGAAAAAGAACCUCUGCAAUUAACUGCGUUAACACAUUUCUGACCCACGUGUACAAUGCAAAAAGAGAAAACGAAGUUGUUAUAACAACCUUCUUAGAUUUAUCGAAAGCAUUCGACAACGUAGAUAUCAAAAAACUACUUGAUACCUUAGAUGAGACUAAUAUCCCACCAGAACUCAUAAACUGGAUAUUCAACUAUUUACAGAAAAGGAACAUAAUACUAAAACUAAACAAUAACACGGAAAUCAGACGAGUAACUAACAAAGGUCUUCCACAAGGCUGUCCAUUAUCAAUUUAAAAUUUUAUUCAACCUGUACACUAUGAAAGUCCAUACCCUAUCCGGCCCAAACAGAAUAUUGUUCCAAUUCGCUGAUGACUUCACAGUAAUGGUUAAGGCAAAGAAUUUAUCAUUAGCAGUAAAGAAUACGAACAAUUUCUUAGCAGAAAUAACCAACCACUUAAAUAGUAUAGGAAUGACGAUAAACACAGAUAAAUGCGCCACUAUGGUCAUGACACACAAAUUUCAUCCGAUAGAUAAUAAAAAUCAACAAUCAUUAAAUAGAAGCAAAACCAGUACAAAAAUUCUUAGGGAUAUACAUUGAUUAUAGACUCAACUACAAUAAACAUAUCGAAACGACAGUAGCGAAAAUUAAAAAGAAAAUCAACAUAAUUAAAAUGAUAACUAAACGGAAAAAUGGAGCCCACCCUCGUACCACACUCAAUAUAUCUAAAGCAAUAGUACAACCACAAAUUGACUACGGACUGACAAUUACAGCAGCAGCCCCGACAACCAACUUCACCAAACUGCAAACAGUACAAAACCUCGCAAUUAGAGUAUCAAUGAGAUACCUUAAAUCAACUCCAAAUCAUGUAAUUCUAUCAGAAACCAUUACCAGUUACCAUUGAGGGAAAGAGCUGAGUACUUAGCAAUCAAGGAAAAUCUGUAAAGCCCUUUACUACCAAAAUAGCCCAAUUAUUCAUUACCUAUAUAAAUUUAUUCAAGAAGACGAUUUACCAAAGCACCAUACUUACCUUGAAAAGAUAGCUAGUUUGAACAAUUACCAUUUAUUACAGCUUGCACGUGCAGUUCCUUAUGAAAACUCAGAAAAAAUUAUUAUACAUCCAGAAAUAGAAUCAUUUGAAAAGAAAAACUACUCCACAACAGUACAGAAACAAACAGUUCUUGGCUUAAUACAAACAUCUUACGCUGAUUAUUAUAAAACUUUCACUGACGGCUCAAAAAUUGACGGACGAACAGGUUAUGGUAUAUACGAUGAAGCAGAGAAAUUGUCGCAAAGUGGGAGACUUAAAUCACAAUUCACAAUUAUGAACGCGGAGAUAGCCGCUAUCAUCAAAGCUAUUGAGUACUUAAUAAUCAAGAGCAUUUCCAAAGCUGAUGUAUUUACCGAUAGUCAAAGUGCUGCAAAACUAAUUCAAAGUAAGAAAAAUGAUGGAAACUUUUUAAUCUGUACCAUUUAUGAAUUAAUUAAUAGAUCGCAAAUAGACAGUCUCACCAUUCAAUGGAUUCCUGGACAUAUUCAUCUAACGGGAAACGACAGAGCUGAUCAUGCAGCUAAGCUUUGAACAACAAGAACUGAAAUCGACGACUCUCCAAAGACGACUUGACCCUUAGCCUGAAACAUGAAAUAAUUUGCUUAUGGAAUGAAAAAUACAAAGAAAUUUCAAAUGACAAAGGAA